AGUGAACGCUGGCGGCAGGCCUAAUACAUGCAAGUCGAACGGCAGCACAGCAGAGCUUGCUCUGUGGGUGGCGAGUGGCGGACGGGUGAGGAAUACAUGGGAAUCUGCCCAGUCGUGGGGGAUAACGUAGGGAAACUUACGCUAAUACCGCAUGCGCCCUUCGGGGGAAAGCCGGGGACCUUCGGGCCUGGCGCGAUUGGAUGAGCCCAUGUCGGAUUAGCUAGUUGGCGGGGUAAUGGCCCACCAAGGCGACGAUCCGUAGCUGGUCUGAGAGGAUGAUCAGCCACACUGGAACUGAGACACGGUCCAGACUCCUACGGGAGGCAGCAGUAGGGAAUAUUGGACAAUGGGCGCAAGCCUGAUCCAGCCAUGCCGCGUGAGUGAAGAAGGCCCCUCGGGGUUGUAAAAGGCU
RNAcentral lists this ribosomal RNA (412 nucleotides) under uncultured bacterium. Its description in RNAcentral is "bacterial SSU rRNA". It matches the Rfam family "Bacterial small subunit ribosomal RNA", at positions 30 to 434 of the family's 1533-position model. The record is from RNAcentral.